Molecule: ribosomal RNA, 1576 nt
Filed under: Salmonella enterica subsp. enterica serovar Weltevreden
Lineage: Bacteria; Pseudomonadati; Pseudomonadota; Gammaproteobacteria; Enterobacterales; Enterobacteriaceae
Description: bacterial LSU rRNA
Rfam family: Bacterial large subunit ribosomal RNA
Source: RNAcentral
AAGGUGGCCUGUGAGGGUUGCUGGAGGUAUCAGAAGUGCGAAUGCUGACAUAAGUAACGAUAAAGCGGGUGAAAAGCCCGCUCGCCGGAAGACCAAGGGUUCCUGUCCAACGUUAAUCGGGGCAGGGUGAGUCGACCCCUAAGGCGAGGCCGAAAGGCGUAGUCGAUGGGAAACGGGUUAAUAUUCCCGUACUUGGUGUUACUGCGAAGGGGGGACGGAGAAGGCUAUGUUGGCCGGGCGACGGUUGUCCCGGUUUAAGCGUGUAGGUGUGUGUUCCAGGUAAAUCCGGUUCACUUUAACACUGAGGCGUGACGACGAGGCACUACGGUGCUGAAGCAACAAAUGCCCUGCUUCCAGGAAAAGCCUCUAAGCAUCAGGUAACAUCAAAUCGUACCCCAAACCGACACAGGUGGUCAGGUAGAGAAUACCAAGGCGCUUGAGAGAACUCGGGUGAAGGAACUAGGCAAAAUGGUGCCGUAACUUCGGGAGAAGGCACGCUGACACGUAGGUGAAGUGAUUUACUCAUGGAGCUGAAGUCAGUCGAAGAUACCAGCUGGCUGCAACUGUUUAUUAAAAACACAGCACUGUGCAAACACGAAAGUGGACGUAUACGGUGUGACGCCUGCCCGGUGCCGGAAGGUUAAUUGAUGGGGUCAGCGCAAGCGAAGCUCCUGAUCGAAGCCCCGGUAAACGGCGGCCGUAACUAUAACGGUCCUAAGGUAGCGAAAUUCCUUGUCGGGUAAGUUCCGACCUGCACGAAUGGCGUAAUGAUGGCCAGGCUGUCUCCACCCGAGACUCAGUGAAAUUGAACUCGCUGUGAAGAUGCAGUGUACCCGCGGCAAGACGGAAAGACCCCGUGAACCUUUACUAUAGCUUGACACUGAACAUUGAGCCUUGAUGUGUAGGAUAGGUGGGAGGCUUUGAAGCGUGGACGCCAGUCUGCGUGGAGCCGACCUUGAAAUACCACCCUUUAAUGUUUGAUGUUCUAACGUGGACCCGUAAUCCGGGUUGCGGACAGUGUCUGGUGGGUAGUUUGACUGGGGCGGUCUCCUCCUAAAGAGUAACGGAGGAGCACGAAGGUUGGCUAAUCCUGGUCGGACAUCAGGAGGUUAGUGCAAUGGCAUAAGCCAGCUUGACUGCGAGCGUGACGGCGCGAGCAGGUGCGAAAGCAGGUCAUAGUGAUCCGGUGGUUCUGAAUGGAAGGGCCAUCGCUCAACGGAUAAAAGGUACUCCGGGGAUAACAGGCUGAUACCGCCCAAGAGUUCAUAUCGACGGCGGUGUUUGGCACCUCGAUGUCGGCUCAUCACAUCCUGGGGCUGAAGUAGGUCCCAAGGGUAUGGCUGUUCGCCAUUUAAAGUGGUACGCGAGCUGGGUUUAGAACGUCGUGAGACAGUUCGGUCCCUAUCUGCCGUGGGCGCUGGAGAACUGAGGGGGGCUGCUCCUAGUACGAGAGGACCGGAGUGGACGCAUCACUGGUGUUCGGGUUGUCAUGCCAAUGGCACUGCCCGGUAGCUAAAUGCGGAAGAGAUAAGUGCUGAAAGCAUCUAAGCACGAAACUUGCCCCGAGAUGAGUUCU